Eriocheir sinensis (Chinese mitten crab) is the source of this 972-nucleotide long non-coding RNA. RefSeq lists it as uncharacterized. The transcript has 5 exons. Lineage: Eukaryota; Metazoa; Arthropoda; Malacostraca; Decapoda; Varunidae. The record is from RefSeq and is a predicted model, not a curated record.
UAUCAACUUAUAUGUUUCCACCAUGUCUCCUUUUUUUCUCUGGUUACUUAGUGUCUGCAGACCUGUGUGUUGACAUCUUUCCUUAUGUCAACUUAUAUCUAGUGACCCAUCUGAUGAGGAAAGACCCCCAAAACCCACUCAGCUAGUGGGGUACCUCUAUAGCCAGACUGGUAGAGGAGUGGCUUCCCAUUCAGCCAGUUGCAGGUUUGACCCACGCCGCCAGGAACCUUUUUUGGGUCUGGAUUAAUUUCAUGUGUGUUUCUUGACACGUAGAUGUCGUGUGGAUGUAUGAAAAAGUUGAAUUCCGUGUAUUACAAAUCAUGGUGUAUUGUGUUAGUUUAGAGUGCAGGCAGGUGGUGUGUCGGAGGUGAUAGUUCAGAGUGAUGGCAGGUGGUGUUAGUUCAGGGUGCAGGCAGGUGGUGUUAGUUCAGGGUGCAGGCAGGUGGUGUUAGUUCAGAGUGCAGGCAGGUGGUGUUAGUUCAGAGUGCAGCCAGGUGGUGUUAGUUCAGGGUGCAGGCAGGUGGUGUUAGUUCAGGGUGCAGGCAGGUGGUGUUAGUUCAGGGUGCAGGCAGGUGGUGUUAGUUCAGGGUGCAGGCAGGUGGUGUUAGUUCAGGGUGCAGGCAGGUGGUGUUAGUUCAGAGUGCAGGCAGGUGGUGUUAGUUCAGGGUGCAGGCAGGUGGUGUUAGUUCAGGGUGCAGGCAGGUGGUGUUAGUUCAGGGUGCAGGCAGGUGGUGUUAGUUCAGGGUGCAGGCAGGUGGUGUGUCAGUGGUGUUAGUUCAGGGUGCAGGCAGGAGAAAAUAACCUGAAGAACCCCCUGCACCAAGACACCCAAGUUCGGCUCUACAAAUUAGAGAGACCUGGAACCACUGCAGAAUAAACCAAAACAACCAACAUCAGGUGGAUAAUCGGGUGGUACGUCAGUGUAACGCCAGGAAACGUACUAAAACUGUAAUGGUAUUUUUUUCACCCCAC